This 409-nucleotide ribosomal RNA is filed under the name uncultured bacterium. Its description in RNAcentral is "bacterial SSU rRNA". It matches the Rfam family "Bacterial small subunit ribosomal RNA", at positions 28 to 428 of the family's 1533-position model. The record is from RNAcentral.
AACGAACGUUGGCGGCGUGGAUUAGGCAUGCAAGUCGAACGAAUCCCUGGGGGCAACUCUGGGGGGAAGUGGCGAAAGGGGACGAGUAAGGCAUGGGUAACCGUACCCCCGGGGACCGUGGGAGUAGCUAUUCUAACGAGUAGGUAAUACCGGCGAUGUACGAGGGGGCGAUCUCUUUGUUACGAGAUGAAUUUCGUCCUCGGGAGGGGGCGUCAUGUAGUAUUAGCUAGUUGGUAGGGUAACGGCCUACCAAGGCUGAGANGCUUAGCGGGUGUGAGAGCACGACCCGCCGCCACUGGCACUGAGACACUGGCCAGACUCCUACGGGAGGCUGCAGUCGAGGAUCUUCGGCAAUGGGCGCAAGCCUGACCGAGCGACGCCGCGUGGGCGAUGAAGGCCUCGGUUGUAA